AUGCUUGUGAACUGUACAGAUUGGUGUUGCAUUUGGCCAAGUGAGCUCCCAUCGCCAUACUACGGCAUCAUGGCCACCUCCUUGCGGUCGUUUGCUGGUUGCCUCUUGCUGCACGAAGUGGUUCCACUUGUCUCGGAGGAGGUAGACCAGCGCUACCACCAACACCUAGGCGGCGAGGAGAAUCGUCCAAGGCCUGAAGCUCAUGCCAGUCCUCGCCAGCAUCCGCAGCCAUUGCACCAGGUACCCCUUGCCUUGAAGCCCCUGAAGAAAUUAUUAAGACUACAUGUUGAAGCACCAUAA
This 300-nucleotide ribosomal RNA is filed under the name Triticum aestivum (bread wheat). RNAcentral describes it as "partial small subunit ribosomal RNA". Lineage: Eukaryota; Viridiplantae; Streptophyta; Magnoliopsida; Poales; Poaceae. The record is from RNAcentral.